GGCUCAGUGGCUGGAAUGGAAAGCAGUAUGUAUUUUAUGUAAAAUAGAUUUGCAUUAUUAUUUAUUCAUGAGCU
This is a microRNA precursor of Chrysolophus pictus (golden pheasant), 74 nucleotides long. The record is from Ensembl. Lineage: Eukaryota; Metazoa; Chordata; Aves; Galliformes; Phasianidae.